UCUUUUCCCAUCCUUCAGGAGAGUUUGUCGCUGAGGGAUUCCCACGGACGAUGGUUUUGGAUUGGACGAGCAGCCGCUCGUCCUGUGAGCAGCAUGGAGCCCAAGUGUCCAGACCGCCAUGCAGGACUGAAGUUUUUGUUCAACUAAUAGGUAUUUGGGUGAAAGGUGAGAAGUCAACUGUUCGUAAUUGAAUGGUCUUCUGCUAAGAACAGCUUCAGCCUACUGAUCAGGACACCUUACAGUCACUCUGUAAAUAAGUGAGAAACUGCGCCCUCCAUGUAGGUUCCGCUGUUGCUGUCACCCUGCCCUUCGAGACUAGUUGCAGAACUACAUUUCUGUCACCAUUCUUAAUCAAGAUCUCUGCUGGACCUUGGGUAAACCGUCCUGCCCUGGUUCAUAUUUAUUAGAUUGUAACCAAAUUCAUAACAAUGUAAACUGUUUUGUGAUUGUGUUCAGUAGAUUGUUUUGGGUUAGGGAACAGAUUUAAAAAAAAAG
This is a long non-coding RNA of Thrips palmi, 495 nucleotides long. RefSeq lists it as uncharacterized. The record is from RefSeq and is a predicted model, not a curated record. NCBI's taxonomy places the organism in Eukaryota, Metazoa, Arthropoda, Insecta, Thysanoptera, Thripidae. The transcript is spliced from 3 exons.